CCUACGGGAGGCUGCAGUCGAGAAUCUUUCGCAAUGGGGGAAACCCUGACGAAGCGACGCCGCGUGAGGGAUGAAGGCCUUCGGGUUGUAAACCUCUGUUGCAUAGGACGAAUUGUUUGGAGCUGAAUAAUCUCUAGACUUGACGGUACUAUGUGAGGAAGCCCCGGCUAAACUCGUGCCAGCAGCCGCGGUAAUACGAGUGGGGCUAGCGUUAUUCGGAUUUACUGGGUGUAAAGGGCGUGUAGGUGGUCAGGUAUGUUAGGUGUGAAAUCCCUCGGCUCACCCGAGGAACUGCGCCUAAAACCACUUGACUUGAGUAUUGGAGAGGAAAUCGGAAUUCCUGGUGUAGCGGUGAAAUGCGUAGAUAUCAGGAGGAACGCCGGUGGCGAAAGCGGAUUUCUGGACGAAUACUGACACUAACAGCGCGAAAGCCAGGGGAGCGAACGGGAUUAGAUACCCUUGUAGUC
This 467-nucleotide ribosomal RNA is filed under the name uncultured bacterium. RNAcentral describes it as "bacterial SSU rRNA". It matches the Rfam family "Bacterial small subunit ribosomal RNA", at positions 338 to 795 of the family's 1533-position model. The record is from RNAcentral.